UAGGGAAUCUUCGGCAAUGGACGAAAGUCUGACCGAGCAACGCCGCGUGAGUGAAGAAGGUUUUCGGAUCGUAAAACUCUGUUGUUAGAGAAGAACAAGGACGUUAGUAACUGAACGUCCCCUGACGGUAUCUAACCAGAAAGCCACGGCUAACUACGUGCCAGCAGCCGCGGUAAUACGUAGGUGGCAAGCGUUGUCCGGAUUUAUUGGGCGUAAAGCGAGCGCAGGCGGUUUCUUAAGUCUGAUGUGAAAGCCCCCGGCUCAACCGGGGAGGGUCAUUGGAAACUGGGAGACUUGAGUGCAGAAGAGGAGAGUGGAAUUCCAUGUGUAGCGGUGAAAUGCGUAGAUAUAUGGAGGAAAACCAGUGGCGAAGGCGGCUCUCUGGUCUGUAACUGACGAUGAGGCUCGAAAGCGUGGGGAGCAAACAGG
This 429-nucleotide ribosomal RNA is filed under the name Gemmatimonadota bacterium. Its description in RNAcentral is "Gemmatimonadetes bacterium partial 16S ribosomal RNA". It matches the Rfam family "Bacterial small subunit ribosomal RNA", at positions 355 to 776 of the family's 1533-position model. Lineage: Bacteria; Pseudomonadati; Gemmatimonadota. The record is from RNAcentral.